This 3746-nucleotide small RNA is filed under the name Pan troglodytes (chimpanzee). RNAcentral describes it as "retained intron". Lineage: Eukaryota; Metazoa; Chordata; Mammalia; Primates; Hominidae. The record is from RNAcentral.
AUUCUACUGAGGCAUGUGUCCUCACCCUGCUGCAUGGUGCACCCCUGCUUGUGUGUCCGCCGGAUCAGAACCCCUCACUGCAGGGUGUACUGUCCCAGGAAGGGGGAGGCGGAUGGAGACAGGCUCCCAUUUUCAGCCCCAAACCUGACAUUCCACAGAGACGUUCCUCCCAUUUCCGCAGCUGCAUGGACACCCUCGUGUGCCCCAUUUCUGCUCGAUGCUCCCUAAUCUGAGCACCUUCAGACCCUUUCUGGUCCUGGGCUCAGGCCUCCUUGGCAGCCUCGCCCCCUCCUCCAGCCCAAGGAGCUGUUCUGUCGUGGCUUUGGAAUUCAGAUGCUCUCACUGUGAUAGAGAUGGGGUCUUGGGGGGCUGGGAGCUGUUCUGUCGUGGCUUUGGAGUUCAGAUGCUCUCACUGUGAUAGAGAUGGGGUCUUGGGGGGCUGCCUCCACCACUGCCUGCCCUGCUCAGCGCUGACCCACUUCCCUUGACCAGAGUUUUGGCCUCUCUGAAUGGGACGGUCGUUUUAGUCCUGAGGGCCCAUAAGAAGCCCAGUGGCGGCUGGGUGCGGUGGCGCACACCUGUAAUCCCAGCACUUUGGGAGGCCGAGGUGGGUGGAUCGUGAAGUUAAGAGAUCGAGACCAUCCUGGCCAACAUGGUGAAACCCCGUCUCUACUAAAAAUACAAAAAUUAGCUGGGCAUGGUGGUAGUCCCAGCUACUCGGGAGGCUGAGGCAAGAGAAUCGCUUGAACCUGGUAGGCAGAGGUUGCAGUGACCUGAGAUUGCGCCACUGCACCCCAGCCUGGCAACAGCAAGACUCCGUCUCAAAAAAAAAAAAAGAAGCCCAGUGGCUCCCUUAAUAAAAUCACCCCUUAGCCCUCUGUGGUGGGCAGUGGUGGGACUGUCUCCCUGUGGGGAGGGUGGCUGCACUGUCCAGCCCCAACCCUCCCGCUUCGGGACCCCCACUUCCCCUUUAGGGCCUGAGACUCUGACUUUACCUCCCACCGUGCUGCUUGGCCAUCCAGCAGCUUUAUGACACACACAAGAACCCCCAGGGGCUUGUCUGUGCUGUUUCGCUGGCUGCUCCCACAGCCACAGGCCCUAGACCCAUCCUCUUGGAGGUCCUUCUAGCGCUGCCUAUGUGGAGAUUCUUCCCCACUCAUCUUGGGGGUUUGGAUUUGUUGCAUAAAGCAGCUGACGUGUUUCCCACAGGGUCCUGCCAGCUAAGCCAAGGGCCCAUGCAUUGGCGCUGGGGUCUAGCAGAGAGAGGGGAGCAGGAUGGCCCGGCCUACCUCAGGCAGCCUAACCUAUGAGCCCAUCCUGAGUACUCCUGAUAGAGAUGGGGAGGUGCCCAGACAGACAGCAAGUGGGGCCCAGCCGCCUCAUCAGAAUCAGGGCCAGGCUCCACCUGGGAACAGGCCCGUAGCCUACAGCCCACGGCCCCUGAGAGCAGGGUCAUCACACUCUAAUGAGUCAUGUGCAUUUUGAAUUUCAGUUGCUGCCCAGCCCCUUUGCCAGGCCCUAAUGUCUUCCAGAUCUCUGGUGGAGAAUGUGCCCCUGCUCAUCAACAGAUAGCUGGCUGGGCUGGCUCCUUCCUGCCUGGUGCCUCCCCCGGCUGCCUUUAGCAAGUGCUGACUGCACUGAGUCCACUGGGAGCUUUUCCUUUUGGGUUUCGAGGCUCCUCCCACUCACCCCCACCCUAGUGCUGGAAGAAGUGAGUCUGCAGCUGAAGGGUUGCUGGGGAGUCAGUCUUUCCUCUUAUUUAGGAGGGGACCAGGCAUACACACACUGUCACAGGUCAGCCAGGCCAGUCAGGGACCAGUGACUCACCUUCCUCCUCAGCCUCCUGGCAGCCGGCCAGCCCUACCCCGGCCCUGCCGGGACGAAGGAGGCCACCCACUGUCUAGACAGAUAACACUGUGGGUAUACUUAUCUGCAGGGCAAGCUCAUGAGAAAAGUUUUUUUCAGGGAAUUUUGUUUUGGGGUCUCCUGAGAGUUCCCCUGUGGCCCAGUGUCUUCUGUUUUCUUCUUUCUCCAAAAAGAUUUAACAUCACUUCUUCCACCUAAAUGUCUGCCAAAGUCAUUGCUUCCCCAAGAGUCUGCAGCAUUAGAUCUGCUCUCCCCUUCUGAGCCACGCACCCUUGAUCUCUGUUCAUGGUGGCGGCCUCCGCAUCCUCAGGGCCGAGCAGGGAGUCCGUGGGUCAGCUGGGCUCCCUUCCUCGUGGGCUGAUAUCACCCCUGCAUGUGUGCACAGGCCUCACCCUGCAGACCACAGGCCAGGGCACUGGAGGACACCCACAGAGGCCUGUGCCUUCACUUCCAUUUCCUCGUGGAGCACCCCCUCCCAGGGGCUUGGGCUGAGCUGAGGGACAGCUGUCAUCCUCAUCUGGCCAAGGAGGGAGCCAGGGCUCAGCGAUCUGGUGUUGCUACGUCCCAGGGCUCCACGCCCCCAUGGUGCAGGAGCAGUCUCUGCAUUUGGCCACAGGCCACCUGCUUCCUUGCUCCCCCGCCCCACCGUGGCUUCCUUCCCCUCCUCUGGCUCUUCUUGUUCCCAUCUAUUCCACCCCUCUCUCCUUUUUCUGACAGGUCCAUGGCCAACCUCUCUGUCCUGUUUGGUCAGGUGGUCCGGGGGCUGAGUGCAGGCACCCGGGUCUUUGAGUACAUGGCCCUGAACCCCUGCAUCCCACUGUCUGGGGGCUGCUGCGUCCCCAAAGAGCAGCUGCGUGGCUCCGUUACAUUUCAGAACGUCUGCUUCAGGUCAGCACGGCUACCCCUGCCGCCCCGGCUUCGAGGUGCUGAAAGACUUCACCCUGACGCUGCCCCCUGGCAAGAUCGUGGCCCUCGUGGGCCAGUCUGGCGGAGGAAAGACCACCGUGGCUUCCCUGCUGGAGCGCUUCUACGACCCCACGGCAGGCGUGGUGAUGCUGGAUGGGCGGGACCUGCGCACCCUUGACCCCUCCUGGCUCCGGGGCCAGGUUGUCGGCUUCAUCAGCCAGGAGCCCGUCCUGUUUGGGACGACCAUCAUGGAAAACAUCCGCUUUGGGAAGCUGGAAGCUUCCGAUGAAGAGGUGUACACAGCCGCCCGGGAAGCGAAUGCUCACGAGUUCAUCACCAGCUUCCCUGAGGGCUACAACACGGUCGUCGGUGAACGGGGCACUACCCUGUCUGGGGGCCAGAAGCAGCGCCUGGCCAUCGCCCGAGCCCUUAUCAAGCAGCCCACGGUGCUGAUACUGGAUGAAGCUACCAGCGCGCUGGACGCAGAGUCCGAGCGGGUUGUACAGGAGGCCCUGGACCGGGCCAGUGCAGGCCGCACGGUGCUGGUAAUUGCCCACCGGCUCAGCACUGUCCGUGGGGCCCACUGCAUUGUCGUCAUGGCCGAUGGCCGUGUCUGGGAGGCUGGGACACAUGAAGAGCUCCUGAAGAAAGGCGGGCUAUACGCCGAGCUCAUCCGGAGGCAGGCCCUGGAUGCCCCGAGAACAGCGGCCCCACCGCCCAAAAAGCCAGAAGGCCCCAGGAGCCACCAGCACAAGUCCUGAGAAGGGCCCCCUGAGGUGUGGUCGCUGCCAAGCAUCAGUGUUAGGGCUGGGGCUCAGCCUGGGGGAGCCUACUGGGGACUGAGCCCCCAGGAGGGCCAGCAUGUGGAGAGUCACCGCGGCUGCUCCUGUUCACAAUAAAGCCGAGGCCGAGCAGCUGGCAGGGGAGGCCAAUCCCUCCCUCCCCUCCCCAGUCCUGCCGGCUGCCUCCCUCCC